Molecule: ribosomal RNA, 547 nt
Filed under: uncultured bacterium
Lineage: Bacteria
Description: bacterial SSU rRNA
Rfam family: Bacterial small subunit ribosomal RNA
Source: RNAcentral
UGGGGAAUAUUGCGCAAUGGGGGGAACCCUGACGCAGCCAUGCCGCGUGAAUGAAGAAGGCCUUAGGGUUGUAAAGUUCUUUCGGUAUUGAGGAAGGUUGAUGUGUUAAUAGCACAUCAAAUUGACGUUAAAUACAGAAGAAGCACCGGCUAACUCCGUGCCAGCAGCCGCGGUAAUACGGAGGGUGCGAGCGUUAAUCGGAAUAACUGGACGUAAAGGGCACGCAGGCGGUUAUUUAAGUGAGGUGUGAAAGCCCCGGGCUUAACCUGGGAAUUGCAUUUCAGACUGGGUAACUAGAGUACUUUAGGGAGGGGUAGAAUUCCACGUGUAGCGGUGAAAUGCGUAGAGAUGUGGAGGAAUACCGAAGGCGAAGGCAGCCCCUUGGGAAUGUACUGACGCUCAUGUGCGAAAGCGUGGGGAGCAAACAGGAUUAGAUACCCUGGUAGUCCACGCUGUAAACGCUGUCGAUUUGGGGGUUGGGGUUUAACUCUGGCGCCCGUAGCUAACGUGAUGAAUCGACCGCCUGGGGAGUACGGCCGCAAGGUUA